GACGAACGCUGGCGGCGUGCCUAAUACAUGCAAGUCGAACGAGUGGCGGACGGGUGAGUAACACGUGGGAACCUACCCAUCAGAGGGGGAUAACACUUGGAAACAGGUGCUAAUACCGCAUACCGAUGGAUGGACCCGGGUGCCAUUAGCCAGUUGGUGGGGUAACGGCUCACCAAGGCCACGAGGCAUCACCGGUCUGAGAGGAUGUCCAGCCACACUGGGACUGAGACACGGCCCAGACUCCUACGGGAGGCAGCAGUGGGGAAUAUGGCACAAUGGGCGCAAUCCUGAUGCAGCCAUGCCGCGUGUAUGAAGAAGGCCUUAGGGUUGUAAAGUACUUUCAGCGGGGAGGCGUUACCCGCAGAAGAAGCACCGGCUAACUCCGUGCCAGCAGCCGCGGUAAUUC
Molecule: ribosomal RNA, 406 nt
Filed under: uncultured bacterium
Lineage: Bacteria
Description: partial 16S ribosomal RNA
Rfam family: Bacterial small subunit ribosomal RNA
Source: RNAcentral